AGGGUUUGAUUAUGGCUCAGAUUGAACGCUGGCGGCAGGCUUAACACAUGCAAGUCGAGCGGAAACGAUGGGAGCUUGCUCCUAGGCGUCGAGCGGCGGACGGGUGAGUAACGCGUAGGAAUCUGCCCAGUAGAGGGGGAUAGCCCGAGGAAACUCGGAUUAAUACCGCAUACGCCCUACGGGGGAAAGGCCGGGAUCUUCGGACCGGUCACUAUUGGAUGAGCCUGCGUUGGAUUAGCUAGUUGGUGGGGUAAAGGCCUACCAAGGCGACGAUCCAUAGCUGGUCUGAGAGGAUGAUCAGCCACACUGGGACUGAGACACGGCCCAGACUCCUACGGGAGGCAGCAGUGGGGAAUAUUGGACAAUGGGCGCAAGCCUGAUCCAGCCAUGCCGCGUGUGUGAAGAAGGCUCUAGGGUUGUAAAGCACUUUCAGUAGGGAGGAAGGCCAAAAAGUUAAUAGCUUUUUGGAUUGACGUUACCUACAGAAGCAGCACCGGCUAACUCCGUGCCAGCCGCCGCGGUAAUAC
This 527-nucleotide ribosomal RNA is filed under the name uncultured bacterium. RNAcentral's name for it is "bacterial SSU rRNA". It matches the Rfam family "Bacterial small subunit ribosomal RNA", at positions 8 to 526 of the family's 1533-position model. The record is from RNAcentral.